This is a long non-coding RNA of Arachis duranensis, 681 nucleotides long. RefSeq lists it as uncharacterized. NCBI's taxonomy places the organism in Eukaryota, Viridiplantae, Streptophyta, Magnoliopsida, Fabales, Fabaceae. The transcript is spliced from 2 exons. The record is from RefSeq and is a predicted model, not a curated record.
UAAUCUCCUCUUUCACUUUUUCCUCUUUCGCAUUUAAGAUUGAAAAAAACCCUAGUAGAGCAUAUUCUCUGCCUCUUCUUCAAAUUCAUGGAGGAUCUACCAGCGUCGGUGUCAUCUCGCUGUCGAUUUGAGUUUGCACCGUCACCGCGAACCUCAUUCUAGAAGGAAGAUUCACCUCGGUUCACCGCUACUGCAUUUUUGCCGCUAUCCCCGUGACUCUGUUCGGAUCCUUCAUGUCGUGUGAUCGCGUCUGACCUCUCUCCUCCAUCUGAGCUUGGCUUCUCGCGCAUUUCUCGCCUCCGCAUCUACUCGAGCUGUGCUUCCUGCUCGUGUCGUCAUCGCGCCUUCCUCACCUGUCUCCCUCCUCGCAUCUCAGCAAUAACCACCAGAGAGAGUUUAAUUUGUCUUCUACGAUCUUGUUCAUCUUUUUUCAAGCACAAGAUUUCUUCAGAAUGGAAGAGAAUUUUGGGCCUAAUUCAAAGAAAAUUAAGCAACAAUGGACACCACACGAAGAUACAAAACUAAUUGAAUGUUUGGUGGAGCUUGCAACUACUUCUUGAAAGUGUGACAAUGGCAUAUUCAAAUCUGGUUAUGGAAAAUAUUUGAAAAAAAUUCUCCAUGAAAAGAUCCUUAGAUGUGCUCUUAAGGUACAAUUUUUUUACAUAAUACUUAUCUUUUUCA